UGGCUCUGGCAUCGAUGAAGAACGCAGCGAAAUGCGAUAAGUAAUGCGAAUUGCAGAAUUCAGUGAAUCAUCGAAUCUUUGAACGCACAUUGCGCCUCCCAGUAUUCUGGGAGGCACGCCUGUCUGAGCGUCAUAUCAACCCUCGCACCCGGCCUCCUCGGAGGGCGGGGGCGGUGUUGGGGAUCGGCCGCCCCCUGGCGGGCAGCCGUCCCUCAAACUCAUCGGCGGCCACGGCGUAGCCUCCCCCGCGCAGUACGCAGUCUCGCGGGAAGGAGAGCGUUGUAGCCUGCCGCUAAACCCCCCACUAUACGUACAAGGUUGACCUCAGAUCAGGCGGGAUUACCCGCUGA
RNAcentral lists this unclassified non-coding RNA (350 nucleotides) under uncultured fungus. RNAcentral's name for it is "partial contains 5.8S ribosomal RNA and internal transcribed spacer 2". The stretch from base 1 to 133 matches the Rfam family "5.8S ribosomal RNA", at positions 22 to 154 of the family's 154-position model. The record is from RNAcentral. Lineage: Eukaryota; Fungi.